AGUACUUUAUCACAUAGACAAGGAAUCAUGAGGAGACACGGGGGAGAUCUACUGGGGCUCCUGUGCAUCCAGGUUUGCUUGGUGAGAGGGAUGAUGGUGAAGCAGAGCCCUUCAGCCCUGAUCCUCCAGGAGAGAGCCAGCUCUACUCUCAAGUGCAAUUUUUCCGAAACUGCGCGCAGUGUGCAGUGGUUCCGACAGCACCCCAGGGGCGACGGUCUCAUGGGGCUGUUUUACAUAGCUUCAGGGAUGCAGCAGAGUGGGAGGUUAAACUGCACAGUGAAUCCUAGGGAUCGGUCCAGCACCCUCCACAUCCGGGCCUCCCAACUGGAAGACUCAGCCACCUACCUGUGUGCGGUGGAGGCACAGUGCUCCCCAGUGAUCUCCAGCCUGCGCCCAAACUGCAACUGCACUUGCAGCCCCCACCCUUCCCCCGGUCGGUCGGGCAUUUGCACCACAGCAGUCUUUGCAGAUUUCCAGACUUUCAGAUUUAUGUGA
Non-coding RNA from Mustela lutreola (European mink), 495 nucleotides. Lineage: Eukaryota; Metazoa; Chordata; Mammalia; Carnivora; Mustelidae. The record is from the annotation of a RefSeq genome assembly.